This 274-nucleotide ribosomal RNA is filed under the name uncultured bacterium. RNAcentral's name for it is "partial 16S ribosomal RNA". It matches the Rfam family "Bacterial small subunit ribosomal RNA", at positions 523 to 796 of the family's 1533-position model. The record is from RNAcentral.
AUACGGAGGGUGCAAGCGUUACUCGGAAUCACUGGGCGUAAAGCGCGCGCAGGCGGUCUUUUAAGUUGGAUGUGAAAGCCUACGGCUCAACCGUAGAACUGCAUCCAAAACUAUUAGACUAGAGUGUGGGAGAGGAAGAUGGAAUUAGUUGUGUAGGGGUAAAAUCCGUAGAGAUAACUAGGAAUACCAAAAGCGAAGGCAAUCUUCUGGAACACUACUGACGCUGAGGCGCGAAGGCGUGGGGAGCAAACAGGAUUAGAUACCCGUGUAGUCC